RNAcentral lists this ribosomal RNA (408 nucleotides) under Fusobacteriota bacterium. Its description in RNAcentral is "Fusobacteria bacterium partial 16S ribosomal RNA". It matches the Rfam family "Bacterial small subunit ribosomal RNA", at positions 355 to 776 of the family's 1533-position model. Lineage: Bacteria; Fusobacteriati; Fusobacteriota. The record is from RNAcentral.
UGGGGAAUAUUGCACAAUGGACGGAAGUCUGAUGCAGCAACGCCGCGUGCGGGAUGACGGCCUUCGGGUUGUAAACCGCUUUUUUUCAUGACGAAGUUUUUUGACGGUAGUGGGGGAAGAAGCACCGGCUAACUACGUGCCAGCAGCCGCGGUGAUACGUAGGGUGCGAGCGUUGUCCGGAAUUAUUGGGCGUAAAGAGCUUGUAGGCGGUUUGUCGCGUCGAUAGUGCAAACUCAGUGCUUAACGCUGAGCCUGCUGUUGAUACGGGCAGACUAGAGGAAGGUAGGGGAGAAUGGAAUUCCCGGUGGAGCGGUGGAAUGCGCAGAUAUCGGGAGGAACACCGGUGGCGAAGGCGGUUCUCUGGGCCUUUCCUGACGCUGAGAAGCGAAAGCGUGGGGAGCGAACAGG